UACGUAGGGGGCAAGCGUUGUCCGGAUUUAUUGGGCGUAAAGAGCUCGUAGGUGGUUCGGUAAGUCGGAUGUGAAAUCUCCAGGCUCAACCUGGAGGGGUCAUUCGAUACUGCCGUGACUAGAGUUCGGUAGGGGAGUGUGGAAUUCCUGGUGGAGCGGUGAAAUGCGCAGAUAUCAGGAGGAACACCGGUGGCGAAGGCGGGUCUCUGGGCCGAAACUGACGCUGAGGAGCGAAAGCGUGGGGAGCAAACGGG
Molecule: ribosomal RNA, 254 nt
Filed under: uncultured bacterium
Lineage: Bacteria
Description: partial 16S ribosomal RNA
Rfam family: Bacterial small subunit ribosomal RNA
Source: RNAcentral